Molecule: long non-coding RNA, 1472 nt
Organism: Cucurbita moschata (crookneck pumpkin)
Lineage: Eukaryota; Viridiplantae; Streptophyta; Magnoliopsida; Cucurbitales; Cucurbitaceae
Exons: 2
Source: RefSeq, a predicted model, not a curated record
UAUUGAAUUGGGCACGCUUUUUAUAUCUCUCUGUGAAUUUCUCAGCUUGCUUAGUUGAUGCUGAUGUAAUUUAAUUCAACAUUCAUUUAGAUCUAUUGCCAACAAUCAAAUUUCAGGGUAGUUAGUAAAUGGAGAACAAAAUAGUUGAGAAGACCCCUUCUUGUGUUUUUUCGUUGAAGUGACAUGAGUUCAUAUGAACAUUGUUAAAAUUGGUAUUUCACUCUUUAGUUCAACAUUCAUUUAGAUCUAUUGCCAUUCUCAAUUUGCAUGCGAUUAUCACAUUCUUGCACACUCUCUAUUGCUGGCUGUGGCUUCAAAUUCAAAUGUGGAGCCUAGAAGUAAGAAAUCCUGUGAUAUUUUCUUGGCCUGUAAUAGAUCUGUCUUACGGUGGUUAUGGAUGUGUUCUUCCAUCCUCUAUUCAAACUUCAAAGAGGGGGAGUUUUGUGGAAGUCAAUUUUUUGGGUAACUUUAUGGGACAUCUAGCUCAAGAGGAGUUGCAUACAUCUUUGGGAUACAUCUUUGAGAUGGAAGGUCUAACAAGUAUCUUAGUUAAAACAAAUGUGGGUCUUCAUUAUAAUCUUUCCUGCAAAAUAAACAGGACAAAUAUGGUGUGAACUUGUCCAUGGUGUUCCUCCUUAAAGAAAAUGCUGUUUUUCCCCCUUAGCUGUAUAUCCACGUGUCACACUUCAUAUUGGCGAUGGUAGUCAGCUAUGCUUAGUUUUUUCUCCCUAGCCAUGGACUUCUGCUUGGAUUCUUCUUGCUUUUAAACGUUUACAGGAGUUGCAUUUUUGAAGGCUGUCCCGAAGGGACUUAUGAUGCUAUUCUAGUGGAUUCUUCUGAUCCCAUAGGUAAACCAUCUGCCUGAGGGUAUCUUUUCAAGUUGUAAUUUUUGAGUGCAUCUUCAGGUCCUGCACAACAGCUUUUUGAGAAGCCAUCCAUCUUUGAAUCGGUAGCCAGAGCUCUAGGACCAGGAGGCGUUGUGUGUGCACUCAGGCAGAGUACAUGGCUUCAGAUGCACGUUAUUGGAGACAUAGUGGCAAACUGUCGCCAAGUAUUCAAAGGCUCGAGAUAAGAUGUGAUCAUCAUAUCUGGCUGCAACGUUUCCACAACUUUUGGCAAGAAGGUGUUGUUGAUUCAAUAGCAAAAUGAGGAUUGGUUUGGGUCUUCAUUUUCAACCAAAUGUCUUGUCUACCAACACAUUUUACCACCACUAGAAUUAGGCGUUUUAUUAAUUUCUCCGCCAGAACCAGACGACACCCUAGACAAGCUUAAGAGAAAUCUAUCUCAAGGGCCUCCAGUUUUGAUUUGCACCUUUUGUAUAAACUUUACCAAUAUCAAGAAUUAUUAAGAUAAUACGUGAAAAAAUAACUGUGGCCUAAAAAACGAAGGUCAUCGUCACCCAGCACGCCAAAUCUUUGUAUAUAUUAUUACACAAAUACAUAACACAGGAAUAAAAUAUGGCUUCGACUUCA